GAUGAAGAACGCAGCGAAAUGCGAUACUUGGUGUGAAUUGCAGAAUCCCGUGAACCAUCGAGUCUUUGAACGCAAGUUGCGCCCGAAGCCAUUAGGCCGAGGGCACGCCUGCCUGGGCGUCACACGUCGUUGCCCCCCCAUCUACUCCUUCGGGAUUGCGGGGGGCGGAUGAUGGCCUCUCGUGCGCCUCGUCGCGCGGUUGGCCUAAAUGCCAAGUCCUCGGCGACGCACGCCACGACAAUCGGUGGUUGCGAAACCUCGGUUGCCUGUCGUGUGCGGUCGUCGCGCAUCGAGGGCUCGAAAAAAUUGCCGGGCUUCGGCUCGACUUUCAACGCGACCCCAGGUCAGGCGGGGUUACCCGCUGAGUUUAAGCAUAUCAAUAAGCGGAGGA
Molecule: unclassified non-coding RNA, 391 nt
Filed under: soil metagenome
Description: partial contains 5.8S ribosomal RNA, internal transcribed spacer 2, and large subunit ribosomal RNA
Rfam family: 5.8S ribosomal RNA (bases 1-122)
Source: RNAcentral